This is a small nuclear RNA of Echinops telfairi (small Madagascar hedgehog), 105 nucleotides long. Lineage: Eukaryota; Metazoa; Chordata; Mammalia; Afrosoricida; Tenrecidae. The record is from Ensembl.
GAGUUUUCUUUGGUAGCACAUAAAAUAAAGUUAGAAUAAUAUAGACAAAAUUAGCAUGACUCCUGAACAAGGAUGACCUGCAAAUCUGUAGUUUUCCAUAUUUUU